RNAcentral lists this ribosomal RNA (222 nucleotides) under uncultured bacterium. RNAcentral describes it as "partial 16S ribosomal RNA". It matches the Rfam family "Bacterial small subunit ribosomal RNA", at positions 555 to 776 of the family's 1533-position model. The record is from RNAcentral.
UGGGCGUAAAGCGUCCGCAGGCGGCCUGAUAAGUCGGGUGUGAAAGCCCGGAGCUCAACUCCGGAACUGCAUUCGAAACUGUCUGGCUCGAGUUCGAGAGAGGUGAGUGGAAUUCCGAGUGUAGAGGUGAAAUUCGUAGAUAUUCGGAGGAACACCAGUGGCGAAGGCGGCUCACUGGCUCGAUACUGACGCUGAGGUGCGAAAGCGUGGGGAGCAAACAGG